AACGAACGCUGGCGGCGUGCCUAACACAUGCAAGUCGAACGGAUUCAUAUUGAAGUAGCAAUACGGAGAUAUGAGUUAGUGGCGGACGGGUGAGUAACACGUGGGCAACCUGCCUCAUAGAGGGGAAUAGCCUUCCGAAAGGAAGAUUAAUACCGCAUAAGAUUGUAGCUUCGCAUGAAGUAGCAAUUAAAGGAGCAAUCCGCUAUGAGAUGGGCCCGCGGCGCAUUAGCUAGUUGGUGAGGUAACGGCUCACCAAGGCGACGAUGCGUAGCCGACCUGAGAGGGUGAUCGGCCACAUUGGGACUGAGACACGGCCCAGACUCCUACGGGUGCUG
RNAcentral lists this ribosomal RNA (335 nucleotides) under uncultured Bacillota bacterium. RNAcentral describes it as "bacterial SSU rRNA". It matches the Rfam family "Bacterial small subunit ribosomal RNA", at positions 29 to 351 of the family's 1533-position model. The record is from RNAcentral. Lineage: Bacteria; Bacillati; Bacillota.